Molecule: long non-coding RNA, 173 nt
Organism: Telopea speciosissima
Lineage: Eukaryota; Viridiplantae; Streptophyta; Magnoliopsida; Proteales; Proteaceae
Exons: 3
Source: RefSeq, a predicted model, not a curated record
UCAGACUGGACGGCCACUGGAGAAAGAAUAGCUUUGAGAUCCGCGAUCCGGAUCUGCUUAGGGACCAUUUCUGGAUCUGAUCCCAACCGCUCCGUACCACAGACGAUCAGAUCUACACUUGCAGUUGAUGAAGUGAAAAAAGAGGAGAAGAAGAAGAUGAAAGAGGGGGAAGA